Molecule: long non-coding RNA, 5466 nt
Filed under: Anas zonorhyncha (Eastern spot-billed duck)
Lineage: Eukaryota; Metazoa; Chordata; Aves; Anseriformes; Anatidae
Description: lncRNA (ENSAZOG00000009595.1)
Source: RNAcentral
GGCCACGGUGGUUACUUUACGUGAAGCUCUUAUCUGAGGCAAUAUCUCCAUCAAAACCGCCGUAAUUAAAGCUGAAAGGGUUUGGAGCUCUCCUCCCCCUGAGGUAGAACUUGAGCACAAAGAAUAAAAAAAAAAAGAAAGAGAAAAAAGAAGUAAUUAAGGGAUCUGGUCAGGCUAAGUGAAAGCUGGUUACUUUGUCUUUUUAAUUCGAGAAUGAGCAAUUCAGUAAAGGAGCCAGCAGUUUCCUUUAAAGAUUUUCUCAUAAUUUCACUCUUUCAUGUUUCUGUGCCCUCCUGCGAGCUGGGCAGGAUGCCGGACGGUCCCUGUGGGCUGUCACUGUCACAGCUCCCCUUGGAGAUAAUUCCCCUCCUGUGACUUGGGGACAGUAACAGGGAAAGAGCUUUUAGAGACUCUGCGGAAGGCGAAAAGCCAGCACUCAAGCUCCCAGAUAGAAACCUGAAUUUUGCAGCAUUUAAUGCAUCCAGGCACCACCAAAAUCCUGUGGUGGGCUCUCCCUGUGGAUGGGUUUGGGGCAGGGAGAGGUGGCCGUGGGUGUGGGACAUUGAGCCGUGCCCCCUCGGGGUGGCUCCCAGCCCCUUGCUGCUCCUGAUCCCCCUGUCUCCCACCAGCACCAUCUGGUACGAGCUGCACGCGCGGGAGUGGCCCUUCAAGACGCAGCCGGCGGAGGCGAUCAUAUGGCAGGUGGGACGGGGGAUGAAGCCCAACCUCAGCCAGAUCGGGAUGGGCAAGGAGAUCUCGGACAUCCUGCUCUUCUGCUGGGCCUACGAGCAGGAGGAGCGCCCCACCUUCACCAAGCUCAUGGACAUGCUGGAGAAACUGCCAAAGCGCAACCGCCGCCUCUCCCACCCGGGGCACUUCUGGAAGUCGGCAGAGCUGUGACCGGAGGAGCUGAGGGACGGUGCCUUCCUCCCCCUGCGCUUCUCCUCGUCCUCACCGCUCAUCCUCCAGGCGCCGUGGCAGAGCAGCAGGCGCUGCAGGAUGGGAGCGCUGCCUGCUCCUUGCAGCCUUCCUCCCCGAUGGAGAGGGGCCGGUGGCCGGGGACCUGUGGGGACACCGCCACGGCAGGGGGGUGACAGUGGCCGCGUGCACGGCGGCUGCGUGGCCAGCACCCUGCCGAGCAGGGCUGGGCGGCUGCAAUUUAACACCAGGGCUUCUCUGAUCCCAAUCAGCAUGGUCAGUGCUCACGUCGCUCCUUUGGGGCCGGCUCGCUUUUUGGUUCUUAGGGCUUUUAUUUAAUUUUCUUUUUCAUGAAAAAAAAAUAAUAAUAAUAAUCGGGGGGAGGAGAGGGGGAUAAGGGGGGAAGCGCUGCUGAUUCACGAGUUCCGUGCCGCUGCUAUUAGCUGCCCCCCGCCGGGAAAUGCAUCCGCAGCGUCCCCGCUCCUCGGCACCCCGUGGCGGGCAGCGGUGACCUUUCACAAGUGGCUUCUCCGCUCCCGGCCGUGCCCACUUAGGCUCCCCCCGGCUCUCCCUCUCAGCAGGGCACAGCUCCGCGGCCCCGCUAAAUUAGCCCUUGGCCCCAGCGCGGAGCUAAUCAGCCGACCUCUCCGCCUCGCCUCUCCCCUUUGCUUCGGGCUCUCUCCAGAAAUAGCUGCGCCGUGCCAAGGGCUGUUAUUCGGAUGCUCGAGGGCUGGACAAGCUUGUGGGUUCUUUUUUUGGGCUUGUCUAUAGAGCAGCGGGAGCAGGCUCUGGUUGUACAGAGCUCGCAUCCCCUUCCCGGCCCCAUAGCUGUCCCAGCACCCCGGACACCCACCAUCCAUCAGCUAAAACCCCAAGCUCGCUGCUCUUGGGCAGCAUCUUGGGGCCGGUGCCCCGUCUCGUGCCGGUGUUUCCCUCUCCCUGCCGGCUCGGCUGGGUCCCCGAGCCCAUUAGAUGAGCUGUCAAGUGACAGCAGAGAGCAAAUUGCGUUCUCAGGCUCUAACCGAGCGUAAUUGCUUGACAGGAGCUGCCCUGAAUAAUUCAGUCGUGGUGUGAGUUGGUUUUAAUUCGGAGCUGUUACACAGCUCUGCAAACUAACCGGCCCUGUGGUGUUUGCUGCUCCUCCGACCGGCUCUUGCUGGUGUUUGCUGCUGCUGUGGCUGAAAUCGAUGAGGAUCAGAAGCCUCUGCUGAGCGCUGGAGGUGGGGAGAGCCGUGGGAACAGAGAGGUCCCGGAGGCUCCUUCCUUAAGCAGGUCCUGGGAAAAGGCUGUUCUGGACGGGGCUCAGGCUGGUGCUUUUGGGGCACGUCCUGUGCCGUGCUGUCACGUCCCUGCUGCUUUGCACAAAGCGAGGAGGAGGCAGCGGGACCAGGUCUGUGUUUGGCCAUGCACGGGGUGAGCCUAGGUGAGCGUAGGGUGCACGCCAGGCUGUGCCAAUCCCCCCUGCACCAGGCAGCACCGGCCCUUCGUGGUCCCUCUGCACGACGCAGCAGAGCUUGGUGCAGCUGGUGAGCAUCUCCCCGUCCUGCUGCUGUAGGAUGCUCAACAUCUGCUCUCUCUCUGCCUCCUCCACGUCCCUCCUCUUCCCUCCCUCACACAAACCAGCUUCAUCUCACCCUGGGCCACCACGACGGUGUCCUCUGCUGCCUGCCCUCCCCUCCCAAAGCCUCCUCUUGCACUCCCCAUCCUCUGUGCACGUGCCAUAAGUGUUGCACUAAAGCUCGGAGCCUCUCUGAGUUCUCACCAAUGCCUUUGCUUGCAGCAGCCCCGGGGACUGUGGGGCUCUGGGAAUGGGGACUGGUCCCCACGUCCUGUCCCCACCGCUCCUGUCCCUGUUGCUCGUGCCGGCAGGCUGAGCACCCGCAGCUCUGUGCGCCCUGGGAUGGGCACGAGGGGGAAUCCACAGCACGGGCACUUUGUCUCCAUGUUGGAAAGCUCAAGGAGGUGAUGCCAUGGCUGAUGCUCAGCAGCAGGGGUAGCAAGGUCCUCUGGCCUGGUGGGCACCAUGCAGAUUUGUGGUGGAGGUACUUGAAAGACUUUCUGAAGACCUGCUGUGCUUUGGGAGUCUGAAGGGAGCUGAGGGGUGCUGCAGCCAACAGGUCUCACCCGACCCAGCUCUGCUUUUUCUGCCCCAUUUUUUCUUCCUGGGGGCAUCUCCCCCAGGCCACGAGCAGAGGGAGCCGUCGCACAGUGGCACCAACAAAAAAAAUAGCUGCCCUCUACUUAUCAUAAGCGAGCCCAGAAGAGCAGCUCCCUCCCUUCCAUUCAGCGCAGCAGCGGCUGUUUGUGCAGCCGCGUUAUUUGCAUCAUGCCUUCUGAUUUCUGAAAGUCUUAAUUAUUUAAAAAAAAAAAAAAGCAAAUCUUAUUUAUUUAUUUAUCAUUGUUUUUUAUUUUUUUUGACUCCAGCUUCGUGCGUGGGGUUUUUAUUUUUCCUCUGGUUUAAAAAUAUCCAGCCCAUCAGCACGGAGGGGAUGUGGGAGCCGCUCUCCACAAUGCCCCCUAAUAGGACAUCCGACGGCGCGAGGAGCUUCCUCCGCCCGCUCCAUCGAGCGGCACGAGCCAGAGGGGAGGCAGGGAUUUAUUUGGGGAUGCUCUGGGUGGGAGCCAAGAUGGUUUCGGUGGUGUUUUAAGCAACAACUCGAUGUGUAGGGAACCGUCCCCAAACCCAGGGGACGUCCCCAAACUCAGCGCCCUUCUUGGGUGGCUGAAUUAGAGCUGGAUCGGGUGCCUGUGGCUUGGAGCUGCUCAGCCUUUGGGUUUGGCAGGUGCUGCUGCAGGCUCGGUGCAAACAGCUCAGUCUCGACAUCUGGGGACAGUGGGACACGUGUCCCCACCCCACCGGGCACCUCCCGUCCCCCGGGGCCCACCAGCCCCCCAAGCAGUGCCAGGCUGUGGGGUGGCGCAGGGUGGGAUCCGACGGGGCAGCGGGCACACUUUUCCUCCCUUCCCUUUAAUUUAUUUUAAUUUAACUUGGUUUGCAAAGAAGUGAUUUCUCGGGAAGCUUUGUCAGCCUUCUUGAUUUCCGUUCCCUGUAAAGUACGCUGUUACAUUUCCUUGUACAUAAGGUAUAUAUAAAUAUAUAUACAUAUCUCUAUAUGUAUGUAUAUAGAUAUAUACAUAUCUAACGAGCUCUGAAUCCUGUACAGUUUCAAACUGAACUCGAUGGCUGCUUUGUUUUCUCCGUGUUAGUUCUGACCGUUGCAGAAUGAGCUGGGUUUAAUUUCCCGUUUCUCCCUCUUUCUGUUUUCUUUUUAUAAAUAUAUACAUAAAUAUAUAUAUAUAUAUUUUGUUGUUGUCGUUGCAAGACUCUCGUCACUGGAAAAGAACAAUUGUUUCUGGUGCAAAAAAAUAAAAAAGAAAACACACACACACAAAAAAAAAAAGCUGAGAAAGGCACGAUGGAUCUCCCCGAUGUAAAUUUGUACAGUAACAUUUAUAACGUUUUCUACACUUUAAGAAAGUAUUUAUAAUUUCCGCUGUCUGACUGAGUGCGAAUCUCCGUGACCUGCAGAACUGGUUAGCCCUUCGUUCCCGUGGUUUGUCGUGCAGUGUUUGGUGAGGUGACAGUGUAUGAAUUAUUUAUGCCAAUAAAAAAAAACACUUGGAAAACCAGCGCGCCCCGUGUGCCCACCUUUGGUGCUCGGGGGGGGACACAUCGCAUCUAACACCCCCCCACACAGACCCUCCUCAUCCUCACCAACAUCCCGCUGACCUGGGGCUUGUAAUUAGGGCCGAUAAUUCACGGUGAGGGGAGCACGGGGAGAUGGGUGAAGGGUAGAGCAAGCAGGAGAAUAAAUCUCAGCCGGGCUGUGCCGGGUGCUGCCGGGGGUGCUCGUCCCCAGCCGGGGCCCCCCCGGGAUGGCUGAGCCCCGUGAUGGAGCGCUGGGGGCGCCGUGCAUCUGCUGCUCUGUUUGCUCGCUUCUCCCACGCUGUUUUACCGGGGGGCCACCAUCCAUCUGCCAAAACGCCCGUCGGAAAGCAGCGGCGGGGGCCCUUCUGGUAGGUGACAGGGAAGAAAAUCGCGGCGGGUUCAUGAUUUCCACCCCCCCCUCCCCUUCCUUCCCCGGCCCCUUCCCGCAUCGCCAUCGCCCGGGUGCUUGAAAGGUAAAAUAAUGAUGGCUCGCCAUUAAUAAACCAUGAACCCGCAACACGUUCCCCUGUCGAGGGCUUUUCAUCUUUCAAAGCCUGCAGGAGGCGGUAAGCAAUUAGGGCAGGCGCAUCCUGGGGGGGCAGCGGGGCCGGCUGGGGGGGAUUUUUGUAGGAUGGAUGGGGAAAGUGAGACUGGGAGGGACGGGAGAGGUGUUGGGGACUGGGGGCAAAGAGCCACCACAUGAAACCUUCGUGUGCUCAAGGCUUUGUCCCCCCAGAAGCUGAUGGGGAUGCUGGGUUCACCACAGCAUCACCGUACCUGUGCCAUAACCCUGUGGGUUCCCCCAUGUGAACUGGGGGGGUCCCACUGGUCUGGAUUGUAACUGGUUGACACUGGUGGGGCACUGGGCAGCACCACGGGGGCAGAGCCACUGAUUGACC